This 253-nucleotide ribosomal RNA is filed under the name uncultured bacterium. RNAcentral describes it as "partial 16S ribosomal RNA". It matches the Rfam family "Bacterial small subunit ribosomal RNA", at positions 524 to 776 of the family's 1533-position model. The record is from RNAcentral.
UACAGAGGUCUCAAGCGUUGUUCGGAUUCAUUGGGCGUAAAGGGUGCGUAGGCGGCCAACUAAGUCCGACGUGAAAUCCCAAGGCUUAACCUUGGAACUGCGUCGGAUACUGGAUGGCUUGAAUUCGGGAGAGGGAUGCAGAAUUCCAGGUGUAGCGGUGAAAUGCGUAGAUAUCUGGAGGAAUACCGGUGGCGAAGGCGGCAUCCUGGACCGACAUUGACGCUGAUGAGCGAAAGCUAGGGGAGCAAACGGG